UACGGAAGGCAGCAGUGGGGAAUAUUGCACAAUGGGCGAAAGCCUGAUGCAGCUAUGCCGCGUGUAUGAAGAAGGCCUUAGGGUUGUAAAGUACUUUCAUCGGGGAGGAAAAAACAAAACUAAUAAUUUUAUUUCUUGACGUUACCCGAAAAAGAAGCACCGGCUAACUCCGUGCCAGCAGCCGCGGUAAUACGGAGGGUGCUAGCGUUAAUCAGAAUUACUGGGCGUAAAGAGCACGUAGGUGGUUUUUUAAGUCAGAUGUGAAAUCCCUGGGCUUAACCUAGGAACUGCAUUUUGAAACUGAAAUACUAGAGUAUCGUAGAGGGAGGUAGAAUUCUAGGUGUAGCGGUGAAAUGCGUAGAUAUCUGAAGGAAUACCUGUGGCGAAAGCGGCCUCCUAAACGAAUACUGACACUGAGGUGCGAAAGCGUGGGGAGCAAACAGGGAUUAGAUACC
RNAcentral lists this ribosomal RNA (455 nucleotides) under uncultured bacterium. RNAcentral's name for it is "bacterial SSU rRNA". It matches the Rfam family "Bacterial small subunit ribosomal RNA", at positions 340 to 786 of the family's 1533-position model. The record is from RNAcentral.